CGUCAGAACGAAUAUAUGUAACUAUAAAAAUAUUAAAAUUAAUUUCGCCCCCAGUGAUGGCUAGAUAAGUGCCGGAGCCGGAUAAGACACUGCGCGGUUGCAACGAGGAAGCAUGUGGCAAAGAUUGUUGUAACGCGUCCGCUUUGCCGUCCCCUGAAUCGACUGAUGGUUGACCAUGAAGAGCUGGAUCUCAUUGGAAUGGACAAUGGUGCGAUCGACGACGGUUCCCGGAACAACAUUGUUGAACUUAUUUUAUUGCGAUGGAGCUCCGUUCGGAAAGAAGCGCGUAUGAUGCCGCUUAACUACAAUGACGCAGCAAAUCUUGGGUUUAAUAUGCAUCUGAAAGGAAGCGAAGCAGGCGCAGAAAUCCCCAUCAACUCUUCAUUCUUAAUCUUGGGAAACUGUACAUCGCUUCCACCAUCAAGAUAAUAGAUAAUGUGCUCGGGAUUGGAUGUGCGGAACUGAUGAUAGACACGCAAGUGCUCAAGAGCUACCGACUUCAUGUCCUCAAUCUCCUCCAAGGCAGAGCGUUGCAAGCGAUAUUGCAUGUUAUAUGAAGCCCCGAAUGGAUCAUGGGAGGCGGCAACACCCACCACACUGGGGAUCUCUCGCUGAUCGGGCGAGUCACAUCGGCACCCAAAAACAUGGUCUUCUUUGGCAGACAGUGUAGGUCAUCCCGUAGCUUGUGAUUGGUGCCGUUCAGUUUUGCAUUAACCUUAAGUAGAAUGCUGCCAAUAACCUGCGCGUUACAUUUGCGCUCGACUGUGAUCCGCUUAAUGCAUUGUGUGAGAAUGCCAUCCUUCAGCUCAGCCUUUUACUUCACGACAUCAAAAAAGCGCCCGAAAUUUGGUAUAAUAACGAACAGCAAAUCAAAUUAAUUUCGAAAAAGGAGCAUCCAGUUCACGUUCAUCUUUGUAAUUCCGUUUCUCGUCCUUGGUAUCCAAUGGUGUAUGUGUAUCCAUGAAAAUUCUAAGCAAAAAACC
Drosophila persimilis is the source of this 983-nucleotide long non-coding RNA. RefSeq lists it as uncharacterized. The transcript is spliced from 3 exons. NCBI's taxonomy places the organism in Eukaryota, Metazoa, Arthropoda, Insecta, Diptera, Drosophilidae. The record is from RefSeq and is a predicted model, not a curated record.